Molecule: transfer RNA, 73 nt
Filed under: Minisyncoccota bacterium
Lineage: Bacteria; Bacillati; Minisyncoccota
Description: tRNA-Phe
Rfam family: tRNA
About the family: Transfer RNA (tRNA) molecules are approximately 80 nucleotides in length. Their secondary structure includes four short double-helical elements and three loops (D, anti-codon, and T loops). Further hydrogen bonds mediate the characteristic L-shaped molecular structure. tRNAs have two regions of fundamental functional importance: the anti-codon, which is responsible for specific mRNA codon recognition, and the 3' end, to which the tRNAs corresponding amino acid is attached (by aminoacyl-tRNA synthetases). tRNAs cope with the degeneracy of the genetic code in two manners: having more than one tRNA (with a specific anti-codon) for a particular amino acid; and 'wobble' base-pairing, i.e. permitting non-standard base-pairing at the 3rd anti-codon position.
Source: RNAcentral
GCUCGGGUAGCUCAGUUGGUAGAGCACUGGUUUGAAGAACCAGGUGUCGGCAGUUCGAGUCUGCCUCCGAGCA